RNAcentral lists this ribosomal RNA (399 nucleotides) under uncultured bacterium. RNAcentral's name for it is "bacterial SSU rRNA". It matches the Rfam family "Bacterial small subunit ribosomal RNA", at positions 29 to 440 of the family's 1533-position model. The record is from RNAcentral.
AACGAACGCUGGCGGCAUGCUUAACACAUGCAAGUUGAACGCAGAAUAGAGCUUCGGCUCUAUUGCUGAGUAGCAAACGGGUGAGUAACGCGUGGGAAUCUGCCUUUUUGUGGGGGAUAACUGAGGGAAACUUCAGCUAAUACCGCAUAAGCUCUACGGAGGAAAGACUUCGGUCGCAAGAAGAGGAGCCCGCGUCAGAUUAGGUAGUUGGUAGGGUAAAGGCCUACCAAGCCAAUGAUCUGUAGCUGGUCUGAGAGGAUGAUCAGCCACACUGGGACUGAGACACGGCCCAGACUCCUACGGGAGGCAGCAGUGGGGAAUAUUGGACAAUGGGGGAAACCCUGAUCCAGCAAUGUCGCGUGAAUGAAGAAGGCCUUAGGGUUGUAAAGUUCUUUCACC